This 297-nucleotide ribosomal RNA is filed under the name uncultured bacterium. RNAcentral's name for it is "partial 16S ribosomal RNA". It matches the Rfam family "Bacterial small subunit ribosomal RNA", at positions 1082 to 1382 of the family's 1533-position model. The record is from RNAcentral.
UAGUCCGUACGAGCGCACCCUUGUCCUUAUUUGCCAGCACUUCGGGUGGGAACUCUAAGGAGACUGCCGGUGACAAACCGGAGGAAGGUGGGGACGACGUCAAGUCAUCAUGGCCCUUACGAGUUGGGCUACACACGUGCUACAAUGGCCGGUACAGAGGGCCGCGAACCUGCGAGGGUAAGCUAAUCUCAUAAAACCGGUCGUAGUCCGGAUCGCAGUCUGCAACUCGACUGCGUGAAGUCGGAAUCGCUAGUAAUCGCGAAUCAGAAUGUCGCGGUGAAUACGUUCCCGGGCCUU